UACGGGGGGGGCAAGCGUUGUUCGGAAUUACUGGGCGUAAAGGGCUUGUAGGCGGCCAACUAAGUCAGACGUGAAAUCCCUCGGCUUAACCGGGGAACUGCGUCUGAUACUGGAUGGCUUGAGUUCGGGAGAGGGAUGCGGAAUUCCAGGUGUAGCGGUGAAAUGCGUAGAUAUCUGGAGGAACACCGGUGGCGAAGGCGGCAUCCUGGACCACGACUGACGCUGAGUGAGCGAAAGCCAGGGGAGCAAACGGG
Molecule: ribosomal RNA, 254 nt
Filed under: uncultured bacterium
Lineage: Bacteria
Description: partial 16S ribosomal RNA
Rfam family: Bacterial small subunit ribosomal RNA
Source: RNAcentral